GGGACACGUGGUAUCCUGUCUGAAUAUGGGGGGACCAUCCUCCAAGGCUAAAUACUCCUGACUGACCGAUAGUGAACCAGUACCGUGAGGGAAAGGCGAAAAGAACCCCGGCGAGGGGAGUGAAAAAGAACCUGAAACCGUGUACGUACAAGCAGUGGGAGCACCUUCGGGUGUGACUGCGUACCUUUUGUAUAAUGGGUCAGCGACUUAUAUUCUGUAGCAAGGUUAACCGUAUAGGGGAGCCGCAGGGAAACCGAGUCUUAACUGGGCGUUAAGUUGCAGGGUAUAGACCCGAAACCCGGUGAUCUAGCCAUGGGCAGGUUGAAGGUUGGGUAACACUAACUGGAGGACCGAACCG
Molecule: ribosomal RNA, 358 nt
Filed under: Klebsiella pneumoniae
Lineage: Bacteria; Pseudomonadati; Pseudomonadota; Gammaproteobacteria; Enterobacterales; Enterobacteriaceae
Description: partial 23S ribosomal RNA
Rfam family: Bacterial large subunit ribosomal RNA
Source: RNAcentral